GGAAGAUGAACCGGACAGGCGUGCCGGCACUGCCUUGAAAGCAGAGGGCGCCCAUUCACCAUGGGCGUGGGCUUCAAGUGCUCCAUCUUCCGCCA
This 95-nucleotide transfer RNA is filed under the name Sulfuritalea sp. Its description in RNAcentral is "tRNA-Ser". Lineage: Bacteria; Pseudomonadati; Pseudomonadota; Betaproteobacteria; Nitrosomonadales; Sterolibacteriaceae. The record is from RNAcentral.